This 683-nucleotide ribosomal RNA is filed under the name uncultured bacterium. Its description in RNAcentral is "bacterial SSU rRNA". It matches the Rfam family "Bacterial small subunit ribosomal RNA", at positions 301 to 980 of the family's 1533-position model. The record is from RNAcentral.
CGACCAGUCACACGGGCACUGAGACACGGGCCCGACUCCUACGGGAGGCAGCAGUAAGGAAUAUUGGUCAAUGGACGAAAGUCUGAACCAGCCAUGCCGCGUGGAGGAUGAAGGUCCUCUGGAUUGUAAACUUCUUUUAUAUGGGACGAAAAAAGGCCUUUCUAGGUCGUCUGACGGUACCAUAUGAAUAAGCACCGGCUAACUCCGUGCCAGCAGCCGCGGUAAUACGGAGGGUGCAAGCGUUAUCCGGAUUCACUGGGUUUAAAGGGUGCGUAGGUGGGUUGGUAAGUCAGUGGUGAAAUCCCCGAGCUUAACUUGGGAACUGCCAUUGAUACUAUCAGUCUUGAAUACCGUGGAGGUCAGCGGAAUAUGUCAUGUAGCGGUGAAAUGCUUAGAUAUGACAUAGAACACCAAUUGCGAAGGCAGCUGGCUACCCGAAUAUUGACACUGAGGCACGAAAGCGUGGGGAUCAAACAGGAUUAGAUACCCUGGUAGUCCACGCCCUAAACUAUGGAUACUCGACAUUUGCGAUAAACUGUAAGUGUCUGAGCGAAAGCAUUAAGUAUCCCACCUGGGAAGUACGACCGCAAGGUUGAAACUCAAAGGAAUUGGGCGGGGGGUCCGCACAAGCGGUGGGAGCAUGGUGGUUUAAUUCGAUGAUACGCGAGGAACCUUACCUGGGC